GCAUGGCUGAAUACUGUGUUCUUUAGUCAGUAAUUUACACAGCCAGACACCAUGCAAAAGUAAAGUCUUCCUUUAAGAUAUCAGUUGAUAUGCUAUAUUUUAUGGUAUAUCAUUACUAAAAGUGAGUACAAAU
This is a small nucleolar RNA of Grammomys surdaster, 133 nucleotides long. RefSeq annotates it as small nucleolar RNA SNORA15. The record is from RefSeq and is a predicted model, not a curated record. The transcript has a single exon. Lineage: Eukaryota; Metazoa; Chordata; Mammalia; Rodentia; Muridae.